CAGCAGCCGCGGUAAUACGUAGGGUGCAAGCGUUAUCCGGAAUUAUUGGGCGUAAAGAGCUCGUAGGCGGUUUGUCGCGUCUGCUGUGAAAACUGGAGGCUCAACCUCCAGCCUGCAGUGGGUACGGGCAGACUAGAGUGCGGUAGGGGAGAUUGGAAUUCCUGGUGUAGCGGUGGAAUGCGCAGAUAUCAGGAGGAACACCGAUGGCGAAGGCAGAUCUCUGGGCCGUAACUGACGCUGAGGAGCGAAAGCGUGGGGAGCGAACAGGAUUAGAUACCCCAGUAGUCCCUGUCUCUUAUAC
RNAcentral lists this ribosomal RNA (301 nucleotides) under uncultured bacterium. RNAcentral describes it as "partial 16S ribosomal RNA". It matches the Rfam family "Bacterial small subunit ribosomal RNA", at positions 509 to 807 of the family's 1533-position model. The record is from RNAcentral.